CACGGGGGGAGCAAGCGUUGUUCGGAAUUACUGGGCGUAAAGGGUGCGUAGGCGGCGCGGUAAGUCGGGUGUGAAAUCUCGGAGCUUAACUCCGAAACUGCAUUCGAUACUGCCGUGCUUGAGGACUGGAGAGGAGACUGGAAUUUACGGUGUAGCGGUGAAAUGCGUAGAUAUCGUAAGGAAGACCAGUGGCGAAGGCGGGUCUCUGGACAGUUCCUGACGCUGAGGCACGAAGGUCAGGGGAGCAAACGGG
This 253-nucleotide ribosomal RNA is filed under the name uncultured bacterium. Its description in RNAcentral is "partial 16S ribosomal RNA". It matches the Rfam family "Bacterial small subunit ribosomal RNA", at positions 524 to 776 of the family's 1533-position model. The record is from RNAcentral.